RNAcentral lists this long non-coding RNA (1212 nucleotides) under Androctonus crassicauda. Lineage: Eukaryota; Metazoa; Arthropoda; Arachnida; Scorpiones; Buthidae. The record is from RNAcentral.
AAUUUUUUGUUAUAUAACUUGAUUAUUUUUAUAAUUUAUUUUUAUACCUUUUACAAAUAUAUAUCGAAUCAGUUUAACUCACAAAAUAUAAGAAAUACAGUACUAUGACAUUAGAUUAAAUAAAACAUUUUAGAUGCAAAAUUCACAUAAAAAUUACAUUGAAAUCGAAUUAAAAAGUAUAUCGUAAUGUAUCACACGAAAAAUACAUAUUUAAUACAAAAUGAAAGAAUAUAUAUAUACUGCCAUAAUUAAAUAUCAAUUUUUUAUAUAAAAGCAAUUAAUUAAUUGGCUUCAUUAUACCGAGAAAAGUUAAUAUGAGGAAGUUUUCGAAACAUUCAAAAAAUGUUUUGUCAAACUUCAGUAUGAGAGUCUACACAAUGAAAAAUAGUUUGUGAAUAUGUAAAAUACAUCAAAUUUAUAUCUUUCAUACUUAAUAUUUUUCGUAAGUAUGGUUUGUGUAAUAACUGAUUUCCUGAUUCAUUAAAUUCUCAUUUGUGCAAAAAGAAAUUAUUAAUAUGUACAGUAGACCCCCUCAUCUAUAGGGGGGUAAGUUCCAAGCUUUUCUGCAGAUACCUGAAACCAUGAUUAGUAGCAAAUACUAUUUACUGUAUAUGCUGUAUAUCUAUGAUAAAGUUUAAUUUUUAAAUUAGCCACAAUAAGAUAUUAACAACAAUAACUAAUAAUAAAAUAGAACAGUUAUAAUAAUUAUUUGAAUGCCUGUCUUUAAAAUAUUAAUUCUGUACUUGCUCCUCUUCAUUCUUCUUGUGAUGAUGACAGAAUAUCUAUGAAAUGUAAUGAAAUGAACUUAAAUUAUGAUUAUUUCCUGUGUUUCUGAAUUUUUUUAUAUUUUUGGACCAUGGUAACUGUGAUCAAGUGAAACUGCAGAUAUAGGGAUUUCAUUGUGUAUUUUGUUCUAUAACCUAAGACAGCAUUUCAAAAACAUUGAGAUAUUUUAAAUAAUUUUAAGAUGGACUAGCCAACCUAAACAAAAAAAAAAAAUAAAAACAUGCAACUAACUUAUUCCAGCUUUGGAACAUGAACUUUGCAGAUAUAUAUUCAUAUAAAAAUUUCUUAUUUAGUAUACGACAUUAGUAAGUUUGGAAAAAUACAUUUAAAUCAUCUUAUUUACAGUAGACUCGCAUUUUUUACAAACCUUCAAUUUACGAACUACACAUUUUUAUUAGGGACUUUUGGGACCAACUAAAUACUUAA